AAUAGAAUAACUGGGUCAAAUGGUGGUUCUAUUCCAAGUUUUCUAAGGAAUCUCCACACUUCUUUCUAGAGUGGUUAUACCAGUUUACAGUCUCACCAGCAAU
This 103-nucleotide microRNA precursor is filed under the name Marmota monax (woodchuck). Lineage: Eukaryota; Metazoa; Chordata; Mammalia; Rodentia; Sciuridae. The record is from RNAcentral.